AGUGAACGCUGGCGGUAGGCCUAACACAUGCAAGUCGAACGGCAGCACAGUAAGAGCUUGCUCUUACGGGUGGCGAGUGGCGUACGGGUGAGGAAUACAUCGGAAUCUACUUUUUCGUGGGGGAUAACGUAGGGAAACUUACGCUAAUACCGCAUACGACCUACGGGUGAAAGCAGGGGAUCUUCGGACCUUGCGCGAUUGAAUGAGCCGAUGUCGGGUUAGCUAGUUGGCGGGGUAAAGGCCCACCAAGGCGACGAUCCGUAGCUGGUCUGAGAGGAUGAUCAGCCACACUGGAACUGAGACACGGUCCAGACUCCUACGGGAGGCAGCAGUGGGGAAUAUUGGACAAUGGGCGCAAGCCUGAUCCAGCCAUACCGCGUGGGUGAAGAAGGCCUUCGGGUUGUAAAGCCCUUUUGUUGGGAAAGAAAAGCAGCAGGUUAAUACCCCGCUGUUCUGACGGUACCCAAAGAAUAAGCACCGGCUAACUUCGUG
This 492-nucleotide ribosomal RNA is filed under the name uncultured bacterium. RNAcentral describes it as "partial 16S ribosomal RNA". It matches the Rfam family "Bacterial small subunit ribosomal RNA", at positions 29 to 507 of the family's 1533-position model. The record is from RNAcentral.